CAGCAAUGGCCACUAGGUGGUGUGCACUGAGAAUGACUCCAGUCUGCCUUGGGAUGUGUCACUGUGUCUCAGCUACUGACAAGCAUCACGUGACCACUUCUCAGAAAGUCACGUGUUCUUAGAGGGAAGCCUUGCUUCACAACAAGCUUAAAGAGACACUCCAGGCACCCAGACCACUUCUGCCCAUUGGAGUGGUCUGGGUGCCAACUCCCACUACCCUUAACGCUGCAACUGUAUUGCAGUUUUUUUAUAAACUGCAAUAAUUACCUUGUAGGGUUAACUCCACCUCUAGUGGCUGUUUACUAGACAACCACUAGAGGGCACUUCCUGCUCUAUAGCACGCUGUGUGAGGCCCUCCAGCGUCGCUCAAUUCCCCAUAGGAAAGCAUUUUCGAUGCUUUCCAAUGGGGAGCUCUAAUGUGCAUGCGCAUUAGGUCUCCCCAGCUGGUGGGCGGGAUCAGUCUUGCCCACCGGCCGACGUAAAGACUGGGAGGAGCAGCGGCGAGGAGAAAUUACCGCCGAGGAACAUUGGCGGGGUCUCAGGUAAGUGACCUGAAGGGGUUUUCACCCCUUCAGCAACCGGGGAUGGGGGACCUGCAGUGCCAGGAAAACGGAUUGUUUCCCUGGCACUGGAGUUCCCCUUUAAUGAGCAUGUAGGGUGGAUAGUUACUGUGAUAGCAAUGGUUUUUUUAGG
Molecule: non-coding RNA, 693 nt
Organism: Pelobates cultripes (western spadefoot toad)
Lineage: Eukaryota; Metazoa; Chordata; Amphibia; Anura; Pelobatidae
Source: the annotation of a GenBank genome assembly